CCAGACUCCUACGGGAGGCAGCAGUGGGGGAUAUUGCACAAUGGGGGGAACCCUGAUGCAGCGACGCCGCGUGAACGAAGAAAUAUUUCGGUAUGUAAAGCCCUAUCAACAGGGAAGAACAAUGACGGUACCUGACUAAGAGGCACCGGCUAAAUACGUGCCAGCAGCCGCGGUAAUACGUAUGGUGCAAGCGUUAUCCGGAUUUACUGGGUGUAAAGGGAGCGCAGGCGGCGCGUUAAGCCUGGUGUGAAAGCCCGGGGCCCAACCCCGGGACUGCUCUUGGAACUGCGUGGCUAGAGUGCAGGAGGGGCAGGCGGAAUUCCUGGUGUAGCGGUGAAAUGCGUAGAUAUCAGGAGGAACACCGGUGGCGAAGGCGGCCUGCUGGACUGCAACUGACGUUGAGGCCCGAAAGCGUGGGGAGCAAACAGGAUUAGAUACCCGAGUA
This 445-nucleotide ribosomal RNA is filed under the name uncultured bacterium. Its description in RNAcentral is "partial 16S ribosomal RNA". It matches the Rfam family "Bacterial small subunit ribosomal RNA", at positions 331 to 792 of the family's 1533-position model. The record is from RNAcentral.